AUAAAUCACUGUAUAAUCUAUUCUAAGGUGAGAGUAAUCAAAAAGGCCACAAUAGUAAUGGAAAUAAUCGAUUACUGAAGAAAAAUUAUCGCCCAUCACUAGUUAUCACUGCAUCUGUUUUCACCCCGGAGAUGAGCACUGAGGCCGCGCGCACCUCUAGACUACUCUCCCUAAUCAACACAGGCUAUACACGUGAACAAGGUAACCACUAUCUAUUAUUACCCCGGAGAUGAGCACUGAGGCCUCGCGCACCUAAUCAACACAGGCUAUACACGUGAACAAGGUAACCACUAUCUAUUAUUACCCCGGAGAUGAGCACUGAGGCCUCGCGCACCUAAUCAACACAGGCUAUACACGUGAACAAGGUAACCACUAUCUAUUAUUACCCCGGAGAUGAGCACUGAGGCCUCGCGCACCUAAUCAACACAAGCUAUACACGUGAACAAGGUAACCACUAUCUAUUAUUACCCCGGAGAUGAGCACUGAGGCCUCGCGCACCUAAUCAACACAAGCUAUACACGUGAACAAGGUAACCACUAUCUAUUAUUACCCCGGAGAUGAGCACUGAGGCCUCGCGCACCUAAUCAACACAAGCUAUA
This is a long non-coding RNA of Eriocheir sinensis (Chinese mitten crab), 599 nucleotides long. RefSeq lists it as uncharacterized. NCBI's taxonomy places the organism in Eukaryota, Metazoa, Arthropoda, Malacostraca, Decapoda, Varunidae. The record is from RefSeq and is a predicted model, not a curated record. The transcript is spliced from 3 exons.